Molecule: long non-coding RNA, 1360 nt
Organism: Fundulus heteroclitus (mummichog)
Lineage: Eukaryota; Metazoa; Chordata; Actinopteri; Cyprinodontiformes; Fundulidae
Exons: 3
Source: RefSeq, a predicted model, not a curated record
UUGCUUUUUGUAGUAAUUUUACAUAUAUUUGGCCAUUGCUGGUCGAUAGCAGUAGAUUUGAACAAAAACUAAUUUUAGUAUAUUAAAGGUGCACUGCUUUGAUAUAACAUUCAGUUUAAUUCAAAAAUAUUUUAUCAAUCGCAAAGGGAAAUUAAAUGCUAACGCAUCUCGUAUUAUAAAGGUUACUUUGUGUCUGACUGAAGACACUGUUGUUGUACAAUAGUCUGACAAAGAGGAUGCUCAGCGUUGUCCAUAAUAUUUUUCAUUUUCUGAAGAAUCAGUUUUUGCACAAUUAUCUCCAGAGGUUCAAGAAGGGUCCCCAGAACAAAGCCAGCCUUCUUUAUUAGUUUGUUGAGCUAUUUUAAAUUAUUUGCUCUGAUGCUGCUACCCAACAGACGAUGGCAAGAGGAGAUCACACUCUCCGCAGCAGACUUAUAGAAGAUCUGCAGCAUCUUGCUGCAAACCCUGAAGGAUCUAAGCUUCCUCAAGAAAUACAGUCUGCUCUGUCCCUUCUUGUUGACAGCUUCAAAGUUACGUCUCCAGUUCAGUUUGUUAUCUAGGUGAACACCGAGGUAUUCAUACUCCUCCAACACCUCUACUUCUUCUCCCAGUAAGGUAAUAGUGUUGGUACUAUUUCUAUUUCUCCUGAAAUCUACGAUCAUCUCCGUUGUUUUAUACACAUGCAGAAUGAGAUGAUUGUUUCCACACCAUGCAACAAACAUGAAGUUUGCACUAUUUGGAUCCCAUUACUGGAAACUUGAACUGCAGCUUGUUGAUGAUAUGUCUCAUGACUCUAAAAAUAGGUUGACUUGAUAUACUUGCAAAAAAGGAAGCGAUUUAGAUGUACAGUUACUUCUGCAAUUCAUAUGCAACUUUUCACACUUAUUGAGUCUUGCUGGGCGUACCAGUUCACUGCUUUAAUGUUGUUGUUUUUCAUAGAGCGUGACUAAAAAGUAGGGAAAGAAAAAGUAGUCUGUUGUUUUUCAGGUAUCAUGAAAACAUUGCUGGUUUGUUGGAUACUUUUCAGAUCUAAACAACUUUAAUGUGCUGGAAUCAGUUGCUCUAAAGGUUUUGUGAAUACGUCGUUUCAAUCUCUUUUGUACAAUGGUGUCUCCUAUCAGCGCCAAUCAACAAAAGCAUAAACAGAACCUGGAGACAGACAAAAUGUGUCAGAGCAUUGGUUCACUCUGCAUGGCCUCCUGCAAUCUCCAGCCAGCCUCAGUUACCUCACUUGUGGAACCUGAACCAACCAAUGGCGUGAAGGACCACCUUCCUGUCCAUCCUCCAACGGUCUCUGCAGAGACGAUCCUUUCACCCUGAGCCAUCUACACUACCCCUUCCCUCUCAUUUCAAUAAAUCA